This 94-nucleotide small RNA is filed under the name Chryseobacterium sp. RU37D. RNAcentral describes it as "Flavo-1 RNA". It matches the Rfam family "Flavo-1 RNA". Lineage: Bacteria; Pseudomonadati; Bacteroidota; Flavobacteriia; Flavobacteriales; Weeksellaceae. The record is from Rfam by way of RNAcentral.
ACAUAGCCUCGAUAGGAAUGACAUCCUUUUUGGUUGCGGGUUUUGCUUUGCUCCACCCACAACCAAAAAGAUAUAAUGGAUAGCGGGAAAAAGC